AAAUAAGAAGCAAUUUAUGCAUUUAAUUUCGACUUAAAAGAUAGAGAAAUUAUACUUCUCCUUAUUUA
This 68-nucleotide transfer RNA is filed under the name Corcyra cephalonica (rice moth). Its description in RNAcentral is "tRNA-Arg". Lineage: Eukaryota; Metazoa; Arthropoda; Insecta; Lepidoptera; Pyralidae. The record is from RNAcentral.